Long non-coding RNA from Nycticebus coucang (slow loris), 1100 nucleotides. RefSeq lists it as uncharacterized. NCBI's taxonomy places the organism in Eukaryota, Metazoa, Chordata, Mammalia, Primates, Lorisidae. The transcript is spliced from 2 exons. The record is from RefSeq and is a predicted model, not a curated record.
UCGACAAAACGCAGGUGGCGUUGCGGUAAAGCGUUGCAGGUGUCUGUGCAGCUGCAAUCGGGCCAAGGGAAACAGAAACAGCCGUAGCAAGAGGCCCCACCCAAGGAAGCUGAUGGGCUCCCCAGCUGCUUUUUGCGGUCAUUUUUUGCUUCCUCUUUGCCUCCUGCUGGCCUGGGAGUCCGGGUGCCCGUCUGUCUCUUCUUUUCCCGAUGUCUAUGAGAUGACCGUGAGGACUGUAUGAGAAAAUUGCAUCUGAUUCACGAUAGAUUCAAUAACUAUUAGUUCCCCUGGAUAGAGCAGGUAGUCACCUACGUAUGAGCAAGGGAGGAGGGAACGGAAAAGUCAGGCAACUGGCUGGAACAGACAGCCCUGAGAAGAAAAGAGCUAUUAAUUUUCCAGCGUUACACUAUACAAAGUGACCUUCCCCUCAUCAUGUAUGUAUGAGUGAGAACAGAAUGAACACUGACCGCCCAGCCUGCUAUGACUUCAAACAAACAAAAACAGCAACCACAUGGGGUUUGGGGGGUUGUUCUUUUCCGACUUUCGCUUCUGCACAAAACUUUCCUAAGCCUGUCGGUUCUCACUUAAUAAACUUGCCACUGUUGGUUGUGUGCAAGUCUUGAAAUUCCCUUCCGCACAUUGACAAGAACCUUUAGACUGGUGACAUGUUCCUUCAUGGUGAGCCAGCCUGAAGAUUAUUCCAUCCCUGAAUUACUCCUGGUGAGAAUCGCUGUCAUCUUGGGAACUGGAUUGGAGGGUUUUUUUUCCUCUUUCCCUUCUGCAGGCUUUCCCGUGAGUGACAGGUGCAUGACUUCACUCCACAUGGCUGACUGAGGUUCCUCCCAACCAGGUGGCAGAUGGGCACUCCUCAGGCCAUUCACAUCCAAGCCGUUUGCCACAGGCUGACUCCAGCCCUCUCAGGGCUCAGGGGACUUUCUCAUGCCACGCAGAAGCCCAUAACCCUCUCUUUACAGCCUCCCGGUGCUGCUACACUCCACUCUUAUUUCAAAGUAUUUCUUUAUCACGUGUGGGGAAACGAUGUUUGUGAUUUAAUCUGUCGCUUUUAGCGGCAGGCUUGCUCUUGCAGCCGUCUUCCUGCU